Zea mays is the source of this 206-nucleotide long non-coding RNA. RefSeq lists it as uncharacterized. The record is from RefSeq and is a predicted model, not a curated record. NCBI's taxonomy places the organism in Eukaryota, Viridiplantae, Streptophyta, Magnoliopsida, Poales, Poaceae. The transcript is spliced from 3 exons.
UCAGGUUCUCUACUAUGUGUAAUCUCAUAUCAAGAUUAAUGAGUAUCAUGAUCGUAUAAUUUUGAAUCCUAUCAACCCAUAUGGCAAGGCAAAGAAAAUGACAGUGGACAUCAUCCUAGAUUUUACAAAAUCAAAGGAGCAACCAGACAUGGCUGUCAUGAUCUAAGAUACUUCAACGUGAUUGGAUCGAACCCAGACAUAUGACU